RNAcentral lists this long non-coding RNA (1580 nucleotides) under Diabrotica virgifera virgifera (western corn rootworm). RNAcentral's name for it is "uncharacterized LOC126882052". Lineage: Eukaryota; Metazoa; Arthropoda; Insecta; Coleoptera; Chrysomelidae. The record is from RNAcentral.
UACUGCAUUGUAAACAAACGACUAUAUCGAAAAACUUCAGAAGGCAAAAGGUGAGUUGCUCUAAGGCAAGCCCGCAGGCAGGUUGUUUUGCAUUAUCAUGAUGGAACUGGUCACAUGUCAGUAGAAAAGACUAUUUCGGCAAUAUCUCAAUUAUACUGGUUCUCAGGUAUGAUAAAAUAUGUUAAGAAAUACAUUGGAGGUUGUCUAGAAGGCUUAUAUAAUAAGGAACCUGGUGAAAAGCAAAAACCUGGACUUGUGCAUUAUAUUGAGAAGGUUGCAGUACCUUUUGAUACACUGCAUAUAGAUCAUCUAGGUCCAUUUGUAAAGUCAAAACGAAGGAACUCUUAUCUCAUUGUCAUCGUCGAUGCUUUCACUAAGUUCUUUUUUUAUGAAGGCUGUGCAGUCCACCAAAGUUACCCCGGUGAUUACUUUUUUGAAAAGUGCAAUUGAAAUCUUUGGUGUAGCAAGAAGAAUAAUUAGCGAUGGAGGUUUUUGCUAUACUUCCCAACGAUUCAAGGAUUAUUGUACAUCACUUAAUAUAAAACAUGUUCUGAAUUCCACUGCUGCUCCUAAAGUAAACGGACAAGUGGAAAGGUAUAAUUGUACAAUAGUAGCUUCUUUAUCAUCCUGCAGUGAAGACGAGAUUACUUGAGAUGAAUUGGUUCCAAAUUGGGGAUUGAAUUCAACGAAGAAUUCAACCACAAAAAAAACGCCCUACGAAGUAAUGUUGGGUUACCAAUCAAGAGGUAUAGCCGAUGCUGUUCUGGCCAACGAAGUGUCAUUACAGGAGGCAGACCGGGGCGAUCUAUCGAAAAUAUGUGCGGACGUCAAACGAAUGACUGAUGCAAACCUGGUCAAAUAAAAGCAAACAUUUGACAAAGUGAUUGAAUUCAACGAAGAAUUCAAGCGGACGUCAAACGAAUGACUGAUCCAAACCAGGUCAAAUAAAAGCAAACAUUUGACAAAGUGAUUGAAUUCAACGAAGAAUUCAAGCGGACGUCAAACGAAUGACUGAUGCAAACCAGGUCAAAUAAAAGCAAAUAUUUGACAAAGUGAUUGAAUUCAACGAAGAAUUCAAGCGGACGUCAAACGAAUGACUGAUCCAAACCAGGUCAAAUAAAAGCAAACAUUUGACAAAGUGAUUGAAUUCAACGAAGAAUUCAAGCGGACGUCAAACGAAUGACUGAUGCAAACCAGGUCAAAUAAAAGCAAAUAUUUGACAAAGUGAUUGAAUUCAACGAAGAAUUCAAGCGGACGUCAAACGAAUGACUGAUGCAAACCAGGUCAAAUAAAAGCAAACAUUUGACAAAGUGAUUGAAUUCAACGAAGAAUUCAAGAGGACGUCAAACGAAUGACUCCCUAAUUACCUGAUCCUUAUAUCAUUAAAAAGGGGUUUAGAUCAUGAUCGUUACGUAAUCGAGGAUCCUCAAGGUUCCGUGAGAUCUCAAAAGAAAAAUGAAGGUGUGUCAUCCAACGAUAAGAUGAAACCUUUCAAUACUGACGUCAGUUCUGAAUCCAAAGGGGAUUUGGAUCCUAACGAAACGGAUCUCCAAGAUAACGAGCGAUCCACAAUUAUUGUG